CUUGACAAGUCUAGUCAAGAUAACUAGUGUCUAAAAGAUAGAAAUGCAUUCGAAAUAGUAUCCGAGAUAUUAUUCGAGACGCGACAAAGCGAAACACUAGGCCAGUUCCUUGGUUAGACUACGGACUGCGCUGGAGGAGAAACGGGAAAUAGUAGAAAGUGACAAAACGUAGUGACAUCAUCAAUCCCGUAUAAGAAAGAAUGGUUUCUUUGUAAUUAUAGAGAAAGGACAAACAGCAGGAUUGCCAGUAUAUCUUGUGUCAACACAAAACAUCAUUGUUGGAACAGGUGUUCAGCUCGGAACAGAAGGAAAGGCCAUUCACCACAUGCAACUGAUGUCAAAAGUGCAGUUUGUUGUGGCUUCAACACAACAACACACAUUUUGCAUCCUAGUAGUGCUUGUGACAUAUUCAAGGAUGUCAUACUGCACUAUGGCUAAGUUCUACUAUAAUUUUUUUUUUUUUAUGUAAGAGAUCUUUUACAAUGUAUGUCGUAUAUGAUAUGAUGGCUUACUUGACUUUCAUUAUUAUUACAAAGGAGUAUAAUUCACUUAUAGCAGAAUACUUAAUGAUGCAUCGUGCUGGCAAUAUUUUCUUACUAUUUAUGGGACCAAUAUGUAAGUGUAGAACUAUAUAUACUCUGUUCACAGCUUGAAGUCUGUUCUAGGUGUGGCAGAUUCCAAAAUUCAUUAAGUGCAGAGCUGCCAGUUUGACAACCAAUUAUCUGAUUAAAAGAGAGAGAACACAGCUGCAGCAAACACCUCAUCUCUCAGUGCUAUGGGAUCCCUGGAGGAGGAGUGAACCCACUACAAGAUCAAUAGUGUCCGACAUCCUCCUCGAGGUACCGAGGUGCCGCUAAGCAUGCUUUCUCCACAACACUAUGGAAUGUUUUCAACUCUACAGUGGACAUCCCCAAAAAUGUCCACCCAGGACGUGAAGUGUGCCACCCACGCCUGGCAUUGUACACACCCACCUGAUAGUGAAAAGGUUAACAAAUAAAUUGCCUACCAAUGACAUGCCUAGUAUUGAAACAGUAACAGUGUGCCUGACAGUGAUAGUAAUAGUGCUGGAUUGUGACAAGGGAAAUACGAGUGCCUCAAAACAACAGCGAAGUAUCUCUCUCACUCACAAAGCUGUCCUGCCGAACAAUUUUCAAAGAAAAGACAUUAUCAGUCGACAUACUUAGAUAUACACCAAAACUCCCUAUUGUAUUGUUCAUUAUGGAUAGAGAGAGAGAGAGAGAGAGAGAGAGAGAGAGAGAGAGAGAGAGAGAGAGAGAGAGAGGUACAGGAGCGGGAAGCACGGCUAAUUAAAGAAAGAGGAGCUGGGCAGGAGCCACGACUGCAAUCUCUGCAACAGCGUCAGGAAGCGGCGGGACUCACUGUCAUGUUUAAAGUGCAAGUGAAGCGAGUGAGUCCCCUACAACUGCUAAGGCAGCCACAGUGAUGGCCCCUUGUGGCUAUAAGGGCUGUCGCUCAUAGACACCGGGUGAGCUGCUACAGCCCUGUUGUUGGACGUGGCACCAGCAGCAGCCGUACGUCAAUAAGUACUGAAGUUUGUGGAACGCCCUGCUAACAUCAGUGACUUUAAAGUGUCAGUAAAUAACUGGUUGUUGAGGCAGGACUGACGUGACACUAGAUCAGAGUUAGGCUUUUAGACAGGUUUCACUAAAAAUGUGCCUUUAGCCUAUAAAAUACAUUUAGCACAUAAGAUGUACUAUAAUGUAAUCACUCUGUAAUUUGUAUAAAUAAAAGAGAGAGAGUGGGAGAAAA
Molecule: long non-coding RNA, 1770 nt
Filed under: Portunus trituberculatus (swimming crab)
Lineage: Eukaryota; Metazoa; Arthropoda; Malacostraca; Decapoda; Portunidae
Description: uncharacterized LOC123515901
Source: RNAcentral